CCUACGGGGGGCAGCAGUGGGGGAUAUUGCACAAUGGGGGGAACCCUGAUGCAGCGACGCCGCGUGGGUGAAGAAGCGCCUCGGCGCGUAAAGCCCUGUCAGCAGGGAAGAAAAUGACGGUACCUGAAGAAGAAGCCCCGGCUAACUACGGGCCAGCAGCCGCGGCAAUACGGAGGGGGAAAGCGGUAUCCGGAUUUACUGGGUGUAAAGGGGGCGCAGACGGCGAUGCAAGCCAGGGGUGAAAGCCCGGGGCCCAACCCCGGGACUGCUCUUGGAACUGCGUGGCUGGAGUGAAGGAGGGGCAGGCGGAAUUCCUGGUGUAGCGGUGAAAUGCGUAGAUAUCAGGAGGAACACCGGUGGCGAAGGCGGGCUGCUGGACUGCAACUGACGUUGAGGCCCGAAAGCGUGGGGAGCAAACAGGAUUAGAUACCCCAGUAGUC
RNAcentral lists this ribosomal RNA (440 nucleotides) under uncultured bacterium. RNAcentral's name for it is "partial 16S ribosomal RNA". It matches the Rfam family "Bacterial small subunit ribosomal RNA", at positions 338 to 795 of the family's 1533-position model. The record is from RNAcentral.